CGUGUACCAACCUGCCCCAUGCUCCAGAAUAGCUCUUGGAAACGGGUGGUAAUGCUGGAUGCUCCAACUUGACGCAUGUCUUGUUGGGAAAGUGUUUAGUGGCAUGGGAUGGGGUCGCGUCCUAUCAGCUUGUAGGCGGGGUAAUGGCCCACCUAGGCUUCGACGGGUAGCCGGCCUGAGAGGGCGGACGGCCACAUUGGGACUGAGAUACGGCCCAGACUCCUACGGGAGGCAGCAGCG
RNAcentral lists this ribosomal RNA (240 nucleotides) under uncultured Gardnerella sp. RNAcentral describes it as "partial 16S ribosomal RNA". It matches the Rfam family "Bacterial small subunit ribosomal RNA", at positions 116 to 356 of the family's 1533-position model. Lineage: Bacteria; Bacillati; Actinomycetota; Actinomycetes; Bifidobacteriales; Bifidobacteriaceae. The record is from RNAcentral.